Long non-coding RNA from Trachymyrmex septentrionalis, 603 nucleotides. RefSeq lists it as uncharacterized. Lineage: Eukaryota; Metazoa; Arthropoda; Insecta; Hymenoptera; Formicidae. The transcript has 3 exons. The record is from RefSeq and is a predicted model, not a curated record.
UUCAUUUAAAUGUGUAAUAUUCAGCAAAGUUUCAUCCAGCUCAAUAAUAUGAAUCAAAAAUUUCAACAUAACUUUUGAAUUUGCAUCCCGACGUAGACGUGAUUAAUUUGCAUCGUUCGAAUAAUUAGGAAGAAAGAAGAGAUUAAGAGGGAGAGAGAAGGGAACAUUUCUCGUGGAAUGCCGCGAGCGGUAAUAAUAAGGUCGCAGCGAAACUACACGAAAACAAUGCGCAGUCACCUGCAGCUUCAUCCUCGACUUCGAUAUAUUGAUUAGACAGUUAUCGAAAAAUGACACCAAUAUAGACGAUUGUUGACUGGACAGACUCCGAAUAUUUAUGACUGAAAGGCGCCAGGGAGAAGUCGCGAGUCGCGCGUUAAUUAACCGUUUGCGCCCCGCAUGUGUCCAUUGCAAAAUCCCUGAUGUCUUCGCGGAAUUAUUCAAUAUUGAGGUAAGCAGAUAUUUAUAUGUAUUUAUUACGAAAAAGUUUGUAGUAUAUUUCUCAAAAUCGAAUAAAACGUUAACAGAAUGAUAGCUUCGCCCAAUAGCUUCCUUUCCUCGUAAGAAGCUAUAUAAAGCGCAAUCCCUAUUUACGUACCUGUAAAU